GCUACGGGAGGCAGCAGUGGGGAAUAUUGCACAAUGGGGGAAACCCUGAUGCAGCGACGCCGCGUGAGUGAAGAAGUAAUUCGGUACGUAAAGCCCUAUCAGCAGGGAAGAAAAUGACGGUACCUGAGUAAGAAGCCCCGGCAAACUACGUGCCAGCAGCCGCGGUAAUAGGGAGGGGGCCAGCGUUAACCGGAUUUAAUGGGGUUAAAGGGAGCGUAGACGGGGCGCCAAGUCUGGAGUGAGAUGCGGCAGGUUAACUGCGGAACUGCUUUGGAAACUGGCGAUCUUGAGUGCGGGAGGGGUAAGCGGAAUGCCUAGUGUAGCGGUGAAAUGCGUAGAUAUUAGGAGGAACACCGGUGGCGAAGGCGGCUUACUGGAGCGUAACUGACGUUGAGGCUCGAAAGCGUGGGGAGCGAACAGGAUUAGAUACCCUAGUAGUC
Molecule: ribosomal RNA, 440 nt
Filed under: uncultured bacterium
Lineage: Bacteria
Description: partial 16S ribosomal RNA
Rfam family: Bacterial small subunit ribosomal RNA
Source: RNAcentral